AGGACGAACGCUGGCGGCGUGCUUAACACAUGCGAGUCGAACGGGGCGAUUAAAAGCUUGCUUUGAUGAGCCUAGUGGCAAACGGGUGAGUAACGCGUAGGCAACCUGCCCUCAGGAUGGGGACAACGGCCCGAAAGGACCGCUAAUACCGAAUGACGUAUCGGGAUCGCAUGAUACUGAUACCAAAGGCGGAGCAAUCCGUCACCUGAGGAUGGGCCUGCGUCUGAUUAGGUAGUUGGUGAGGUAACGGCCCACCAAGCCGACGAUCAGUAGCCGGUCUGAGAGGAUGAACGGCCACAUUGGGACUGAGACACGGCCCAGACUCCUACGGGAGGCAGCAGUGGGGAAUCUUCCGCAAUGGGCGAAAGCCUGACGGAGCAACGCCGCGUGAGUGAAGAAAGGUCUUCGGAUCGUAAAGCUCUGUUGUCGGGGACGAAGGGGCAGAUCAGGAAAUGGGUCUGCUUAGACGGUACCUGACGAGGAAGCCACGGCUAACUACGUGCCAGCCGCUGC
Molecule: ribosomal RNA, 513 nt
Filed under: uncultured bacterium
Lineage: Bacteria
Description: bacterial SSU rRNA
Rfam family: Bacterial small subunit ribosomal RNA
Source: RNAcentral